AAAUAUAUUAGUUCGAAAUAACAAAUAAAUUGUAAGACGCUUGGUAAAAAUGGAAAAAUUCCAUUUAAACUCGGGAAAGCUAACAGCUUUUUUAUUUGGUCCUAGUACUCUACUCGACUCCUCGACCAUCUUCUCCUUAUUUUUACGACUUCUCAUGACUCGUAUUCUCGGUUUGGUUUAUCGAAAAAGUGGUUGAUAAGACGCAGACGCACUCUUAUUUCUUGAUAGUUCUUGAUACUAUGUACAUAUGAUAACCAUACCUGAAAACUCGUAAAAAUAUGUCGUUUGCCACCUAUUGCACAAAUAAUGCCUUUAUGUGGUCAACUGUUAUUAUAAUCAAAAAAACAUUUGGAUACGACGCAUUGCUUGUAAAUAACUACUUAUAGCUUGUUUGUAAUUUUAUAAACUUCUACAUUAUUGUUGGCCGUAAAAGAUGGUAAUAUUUAUGGCUGUAGAAGGUUUUUAGAUUCGAUAAUGAAUCAAGUGAUUUUCAUUGAAUAUAUAAACGAGAGUGUCUGCUUUGUAUCAUGUCGAACUGAGUUUCCAAAGAAUGUCGCGCGUAAGAUGAAAAAGCGAAAACAAAAAAACUUUUCAAAGCUUCCCUAAACGUUAAAAUUUUUUUCCCGUUGUUGCUCUUUCGCGUGCGUACAUUGAAUUUUGUCAUUAACUUUUUCUUUCACAGGCGUUAGUGUAUACAACGGAAUGUGCCGACAUAGCAACGCAGCUGAACAAAAUGAAUAAAAAGUGGCUUAGGUCGUAAAAGACUAGCUUUCCGGGCAGGGAAGGGGUUGAUGCACACGUGUGCGGUUGCUGUUCGUGCUUCGAGCGGUAACUGCAAUUUUAUUCCGAGAUCGUCUCACUGGAUUACGUUGAGUCAACUUUUCACGCGAAGUGAAGGUGAUAGCUUUCAUAUUGAGAGCUGCGUGUAACAUCAUUUCUGUCGGAUUGAACUGAGCAAUUUAUAUUAAAUCUGCAAAAUGAUUGUUCACGCCAACGUGUCAUUGGUGUGGACCGCAUACUGUAGCAUAUAGAAGGGGUAAAACUUAAUGCCACACGCUUUGAAAAUGCGGGAGGGGGGGACGAAAGUAAAGCUCAUAGCGAAAAGUGAUUUCUCAAGAAUCACAUUUCGCUCGAUAAGAGGAUAGAAGAAGCAGAAUCGGCAAGCCGAAACGUCGCUGAGUAGCUGAAAUCAGAAGUGCGUUGCGAGCCGGUGCCUAAUAGACUGCCUACAGCACGGUGGGCAUGUGGUCGUUGAAAAAACUUCGUGCAACAGAAACGUUUGUGAUUGCCGAGCGUUGUUAAUUUCGCAAAUUUCUAGAAACAGGAACAGUUAAUCGAACCAAAAUUGAAUAUCCAAAGAAUUUAAGCAAUACCCUUUGUAUACAUGCACGUGUGCGAGAAAGUGAUUUGAGCCGCGUGAUAGAGUCAAAUAUCGUCUGCGUCAAUCAGAUUUGUUGUUUUACAAUAUAUUUAAAUCAUGGAAGAAUUUAUAGUUGAUAACGAUGGUUACACAGUAGUAUACACAGAUAAAGCCUGUCAUUUGAAUAGUUAACCUGGUGCCAAAGCAGGAAUUGGAGUUUGGUUUCAUGAUAAUUCUUCAUUCAAUUUAUCACUGCCGGUGACAGGAAGAGCAACAAAUAAUAAUGCAGAGAUACAAGCAAUCACUGCAGCAGCCAAUCAGGCCAAGCAAUUGGUAUUGAAUUACUGAAAAUUUAUACUGACUCACAAUUUUCCAUUGACUGUGCCACAAAGUGGUUACCUAUUUGGAAGGUAAAUGGGUGGUGUACACAGAAUGGGAAUGUUGUCAAUAAACAAGAACUUUUAUUGAUGGAAAAGUCUUUGACAAAAUUAAAACAUGUAAAAUUUGUACAUGUCAGAAGUCACCAGGGUGACUAUGGUAACCAGCAAGCUGACCAAUGGGCUCGUGCUGGGUAGGCUUACUACCAACAGUAAUUUGUAGUUAUUACAAUCUCAAGAUCAUUAAUUUUUACUUUUCUAUAUGU
Molecule: long non-coding RNA, 2003 nt
Organism: Phymastichus coffea
Lineage: Eukaryota; Metazoa; Arthropoda; Insecta; Hymenoptera; Eulophidae
Exons: 5
Source: RefSeq, a predicted model, not a curated record